GGGGCUGAUUCUGGAUUCGACGGGAUUUGCGAAACCCAAGGUGCAUGCCGAGGGGCGGUUGGCCUCGUAAAAAGCCGCAAAAAAAUAGUCGCAAACGACGAAAACUACGCUUUAGCAGCUUAAUAACCUGCUUAGAGCCCUCUCUCCCUAGCCUCCGCUCUUAGGACGGGGAUCAAGAGAGGUCAAACCCAAAAGAGAUCGCGCGGAUGCCCUGCCUGGGGUUGAAGCGUUAAAACGAAUCAGGCUAGUCUGGUAGUGGCGUGUCCGUCCGCAGGUGCCAGGCGAAUGUAAAGACUGACUAAGCAUGUAGUACCGAGGAUGUAGGAAUUUCGGACGCGGGUUCAACUCCCGCCAGC
This 356-nucleotide transfer-messenger RNA is filed under the name Salmonella enterica subsp. enterica serovar Muenchen. RNAcentral's name for it is "partial transfer-messenger RNA". It matches the Rfam family "transfer-messenger RNA". From Rfam's summary of the family: Bacterial tmRNA, also known as 10Sa RNA or SsrA, is named for its dual tRNA and mRNA-like properties. Its role is to liberate the mRNA from a stalled ribosome. The record is from RNAcentral. Lineage: Bacteria; Pseudomonadati; Pseudomonadota; Gammaproteobacteria; Enterobacterales; Enterobacteriaceae.